GGGUAUGUGAACAAUAAAGAGAAACUUAAAAGUGAAUGCACUGCUUCAGAAAGACCAGACUUCCAAGCCCCCGAAUGGUGGCACCACUGUCCCCCAAUACUUUUGUUACUACUUGCCAUUUGUUUUGCCCCUUGUUCCUAUUUUGAAUAAGAACCCAUUGCUCUCCAGAAGUAAAAGCAAUGUGACCAUUUGUUUAUUUACUCCCUGCACCAAGACCCAGGGUGAUGAGGCUGGAUUGCACAUGGGGCGUGGGCAUCAGAAACUGGAAAGUCUCACCCUGCCCAGCCUGUCUGGCUCGUAUGCUUGGGCAAGUCACAUAGCUCCUGUGGGACUCCGUUUCCUCACCCAGUGAUAAUGACCGGCUUCACAGGGUGGCUGCGGAGCUUAAUUAAGGAUUGAGAAGGAGGCAGAAAAUACAAAGUGCAGCAUACACGCAAAUUUCCCAUAUUUAUUUUUGGGCUCAGUAACCUGUUGGUAGGAGGUGUUUAUGACCUGGAAGAGGAGUCUAGCAAGAGAUGUAACUAGCUAUUCUCAUUCCAAAAUGGUUCACUUGGUAUUGACUGGGAAAUGGGCCAUGUCAUUCUUGCUUUUGUUCGAGUACAUUCUGUGGCCCUUCCUGCUAACUUUCUGGGUAUAGCUUGCCAACUCUAGGCCUCAGUUUUCUUGUAUAAGGACUUUAUCUAUCUUUCCUUUAUGCUCAGAUAUGCUGUGAUGGCUUAAGCUUUUUCCUUAGUGCUUAUACCCUUAAGCCGCACUCAGAUAGAAGACAGAGGGAAGGCAUACACGUUUGUGAGUGACCCCAUGGGGUAGUUCCCUGAGCCAGAAAAGACAGAGACUUAUGAAGCCCUGCAUAGGUGACACCCGAAAUCUGCCUGGCUUUGCGGAUCCUGGCCUUUCUUCUAAGUGCUUGGAAGACCUUGGCAGAUUCAGCCAGCGUUUUGAUCACUGCCAGAGCCUGCAGCUUUGUUGCUAAUUGUUUGCUGAAUGAAUUGAGCAAAAGCACAACUGGUCCCAAGGCAGGAGUGAGGAGGUGAGGGAAAGACAGAAAAACAAACCAGAAGAGAGGACUGGGUGACUGCCUUGGAAAAUCUUAUUAUUACUAGUACAUUUUUUUGUCUUUUAAUCACAAAGGCUGUCUCUGCACUAGGACUAAAGAACCAGAACUGUUCAGAAAGAGAGAAGAGCCCAGCACCUUAUACUCAGGAGAUACUGAAAAACAUCAUAUAAGGUGUUUACUGUUGAGAGAAAAGUACACAUCAGAGGAUGCCCAUUAUUGAUAUAGAGCCUUCUCUGUAUCUGGAUGAACGUGACCAGGAAGCCACCCUCAGCCUGCUGCAGCUGUUUUCAGAAUCUGUGGGAUCACACCCCAGAGGCAGUUGGGUCAGCCGCAGGCAUCAGGCCCUCUCCAUGACAACUG
Molecule: long non-coding RNA, 1417 nt
Filed under: Homo sapiens (human)
Lineage: Eukaryota; Metazoa; Chordata; Mammalia; Primates; Hominidae
Description: HSALNT0221033
Source: RNAcentral